UGGCACGGCCUGCAUGCCAGCCCAACCCCCUUGAAAUAGGCCAUGCCAUGAUAUGGCCCAUUUAGGCAUGGCCCAUUUAGGAUUGUUUAAAAUUUAUAAAAAAUAUACAUGAAUAAAUUAAAAAAAAGUUGGAGACUAGGAAUUUAAAUAUAAAGUCACCUUAUUAGGUGGGGGGUUUGACGUGGACCUCUAUCAAUUUAUUAAUAAAUAUCAAAAUAGUACAAGG
This 226-nucleotide long non-coding RNA is filed under the name Elaeis guineensis (African oil palm). RNAcentral describes it as "long non-coding RNA (EGUI_LNC014788)". The record is from RNAcentral. Lineage: Eukaryota; Viridiplantae; Streptophyta; Magnoliopsida; Arecales; Arecaceae.